GAGCUUGGGCAAGAGAGAGAUCACUACCACCAUCACCCUCCUCAGGGUGAAAACUGGAAAACCAGAGCUCAUGCUGCCUUGGGAAUUAAACCAUGGAGCCAGCUCAUAAUGGGUAAGAUCAGGUUCCUACUCUAAGAUGCCCUCCCCUGACCUGAGACUGGCUGCUUGUUCUCCAGCAGCCCCUCCAAGGAAGCUUCUCCAAAUCUAGCCACCCACGGUUCCCAGUGCUCAAGCUGGUUUUCUUCCAAAUUCGGGGAAAGGAAGGCUGCUGAGCCGUUCCACAAAUCUCCCAGCAUCGCUGCCAAAACCCUCUGACGAGUUGCACGGUCUUUUCAUCUCCAACAGCUGCCGGCAUUGUUAGGACCUGUCUGCAGGCUCCAUCUGAGGUGUGAACAGACCUCAGAAACCUGCGGCCCCGCCCCUCCUAUUCACAGAGCAUCUCUGAUUCUCAGCGGAGAAUCUUUGUUCUCUCAGAGAGAAUCUUUGUUCUCGCAGAUCGGCCUGGAAUUGUCGGGGAAAAUGGCCGUCCGGAGGAAAAGGAAGGAUAAUAAUAAAGCUUCCGUCGGGAGAAUUUCACAAAAGCAGAGUCACAUUUCAAAGCAGCUGCCGGUCCCCACUGAGGGGACCCGGGAAGAGACAGCCGCAUCUGUGAGCGCCUGUUUAGUUUCUGUCUGAAACCUGCCAGAAUCCGCACGCGGCUGUCAGCCACCAGGACAUCAGUGAGGGUUUGGCCACCUGUCAGCUGUCCGUGGUGGUACUAAGAAAAUCCAGGAUCUGGGCCUCAGAGUCAGAUGUCAAGGCCACUGGGGAGAUGUCCCCCACCAGCCCACCUACCUUCUCUUCCCUAUAU
Molecule: long non-coding RNA, 850 nt
Organism: Bos taurus (domestic cattle)
Lineage: Eukaryota; Metazoa; Chordata; Mammalia; Artiodactyla; Bovidae
Source: Ensembl